RNAcentral lists this long non-coding RNA (673 nucleotides) under Homo sapiens (human). RNAcentral's name for it is "non-protein coding lnc-RPLP1-12:34". Lineage: Eukaryota; Metazoa; Chordata; Mammalia; Primates; Hominidae. The record is from RNAcentral.
UGGUAAAAUCUUUCUCCAGGAAAAAUCUGUCCUUGGCCCAAUGUGUAAACACUUGCUGAGGAACUUGGAAUAACUUGCAGUGUCUUGCAGUAUUGUGAAACCAGCAACUUGUUCACAAUUCUUCUGAAUUUCUUGGGAAAUUUGAAGUGGAGUACCUGUACCAACAUGAAAUGACACGAAUUUAAGUGACGCUCAACAACGAAAAGCAAAAAGAACCAAAGAGGAAGCAACUGAAACAACAUCUGGAUGUAUUUAAAAAUAUACAAUGCCUCCAAAAUCAGGUGUCAUUAAUGAAAAUUCUGAAGAAAUGCCACCGGACAUAGCCAACGCACCUACGCUGUUGUUAUUCAUUUCCUGCUUUUCACAGAAAACAAUUUUGUUGCAUGGAAGAUCGUGAACUUCAAAGGGCAGAGGGGAAACUGUCCCUUGGCCUCUACCCCUCCAAGGCCCCACUUUUUUGUCAACACUCCUUGGACGCAGCAGAAGUAUGAACAUAAUAUGGUCCUGAAUGAGGCUGAGUCUUUGGGCGCAGAAGACCCGGGUUAAUAAAAAUAGGAAGGUAAGAAAAGAAAAGAAAAAUCAAGACACAUCAUAGGACUAAAUUCCUAUUAUUUAUCCACUCAGGAUUGACCACCCCUUUGGGCCAGAUAGUUGUACCCCCAUGUACCAGGUG